Molecule: long non-coding RNA, 1531 nt
Filed under: Cucumis sativus (cucumber)
Lineage: Eukaryota; Viridiplantae; Streptophyta; Magnoliopsida; Cucurbitales; Cucurbitaceae
Description: long non-coding RNA (CSAT_LNC002569)
Source: RNAcentral
UGGGGUCUGCCGACUCCGCAUCCAUACAUUUAUCUCUCCAUCACUUCAUCUUCCGGUUUGUAUUUGUUUCUCUUCUUUCAGUACGUAUCAAAUCACACGCGCGUUCACCCACGCUCUCCCAUUGAAUUUUUUUAUUUACAAAAAAAAAAAAAAACUAUUCCAAAACUCAUUUUGCACCUGUAUUUAUUAUUUGCUCCUUUUACUAUUUGAUAUUUAUUGCCUUUUUACUCUUUUAACUAGGAUGGUUCUUUUCUUUUAUCAAACUAACAUAUGUUCUAUUAUAAUUCAAAUUAAAAUAAUCUAAACAAUAAACACAAACAAUUUUAUCAUAUACUUUAAUUUAUCUAUAACUUGUUUUUAAAUCAAACAUUUCAAAGUGUAUUUCAAGUAAACACUUGGUCGCUUCACUUUUAUUUUGAAAAAUAUGGAGUAUUUGGAGUAGGUUGGUUAUUAUAAUCCUACCUUGUGAUAUUUUAUGUUUUGGUAUAAUUUAUUUUAGUCUGAAUUAUAAUAAUAUGUGUUUAAACUUUUAGGGUUGAUCACAGCUAAUUGAAAAUUUUUAUAGAAAAUACUACUUUUAGUUAUUAUAAUUUUACUAUAUAGUUGGUGUCUCUUACUUUUAAAGAACAUUUUUCAUCCUCUUUGUCAUUCAAUACAAAAUAUUAGAAAGAAAAUUUGAAAAAAAAAGGUUAACAAAAUAUUUAGCGUUCGUAACAAAAAUUAAGUAGGAUAAAUUUUAGUAAAUUUUUUAUGUAAAAAUAGUUUUUAAAUAUUUUUUAACUGCGCCACACAACCACUUUCUAUAGAAUUAGACAUGGGCUACACUUGGUGCAGAUUGGAAUAGCAGCACCAAGUUGUUUUCUCUCUUAAGUUUGAUGCUUUUGUUAUUAUUAUUAUUAUUUUAACAGAUACUUUUACUAUUAUUUCGAAGAAGGACAAUGAUUUUCAUUUUUACUCUCCCUCCCUUCCACCAUCCUUUUUGAUCUUCCAUCCCCCAAAUAUAGUCCAUUUUGAUCAAAAAGGUUCCACUUUCUUCUGUGUGCUGUGAAAUUGGUAUCUGAUGCUACUUGUAUGUUGAGUUUGGAGAUGGAGGGGAAAUGAUAUGUUUAUGAGAAUGUUGCUGUUGAUUACAACAACACUUUAGUGUACGUUCAUUCAUGAGAACUAGGCCCUUCCGUUUACCAGACUUAAGAACGGAGAGAUCUUCUUGAUGCAUCGGAAUUGGGAGGGAUUAAAUUCAAGGACAGAGUGGCGUCGUUGGAUUUGAGAAGCAUGAAAACUUGGGGAGUCUGAAUGUGAGGGAUUAAAAAUGGGGGAUGGCUAAUGCAAGACUGGCCGAGAGAUGAAGAUGAACUGAGGAGUUGGUGGAUGAAGGAAAGCAGUGUAGAGGGAUGAGCGAGCAACUAUUUUUAUGUUCUGAUUUUAAAAUAUUAUUUUCCAUAUUUAAAAUAAUAAUACAAGCAUGUAAUUAAGGUAGAGAAUAAUUUCAGACCAAUUAAACUUACUAACAAACACUAUCAAUGCACAUGAA